UACGGAGGGUGCAAGCGUUAUCCGGAUUCACUGGGUUUAAAGGGUGCGUAGGUGGGCAGGUAAGUCAGUGGUGAAACCUCCGGGCUUAACCCGGAAACUGCCAUUGAUACUAUCUGUCUUGAAUACCGUGGAGGUGAGCGGAAUAUGUCAUGUAGCGGUGAAAUGCUUAGAUAUGACAUAGAACACCAAUUGCGAAGGCAGCUCACUACGCGAAUAUUGACACUGAGGCACGAAAGCGUGGGGAUCAAACAGG
This 253-nucleotide ribosomal RNA is filed under the name uncultured bacterium. RNAcentral describes it as "partial 16S ribosomal RNA". It matches the Rfam family "Bacterial small subunit ribosomal RNA", at positions 524 to 776 of the family's 1533-position model. The record is from RNAcentral.